GUUCAUUUGACCUCCUCCUCUAAAUCAAUUAAAUCCUCUAAAAUUAUUAGGUCCUUAAAAUGAAAUAGUUAUGGUGAUAACUAGAUCAUAGCCUCCCAUUAAGUGGAUGAUAAUGGGUCCAUCAGUUGGAUAAUCAUUGGAGGCCCAAAGACCUGGUGAUUAUCGGCUGAUGGAAUUGUCAUUCAUAAUAUGAUUUCUUGACUGCAUCUUUCUAAAU
Molecule: long non-coding RNA, 217 nt
Filed under: Elaeis guineensis (African oil palm)
Lineage: Eukaryota; Viridiplantae; Streptophyta; Magnoliopsida; Arecales; Arecaceae
Description: long non-coding RNA (EGUI_LNC074602)
Source: RNAcentral